This 370-nucleotide long non-coding RNA is filed under the name Lathyrus oleraceus (garden pea). RNAcentral's name for it is "Pisum sativum (pea) long non-coding RNA (PSAT_LNC017081)". The record is from RNAcentral. Lineage: Eukaryota; Viridiplantae; Streptophyta; Magnoliopsida; Fabales; Fabaceae.
AUUCACACAAUUUGUCAUUCAUUCAUUCAUUAAACAUGUAUAAUGUUCAUUACAAAAGAAACAUAAAAAAAUUCAUUUUUUACAAAUGUUAACUUUUGGUCAAUUGUUGACUAUUUGGUCAACUAGUUGACCAAAGUCAACCAUCACAUUUUCAUCCUAAAAUCUCAAUAUUAAUCACAUAUGCACCAUUGCAUCAUUCCUAGAUCUUCCAUGACCACCACUUCCUCCAUUGAUCAAGUUUCUCCAACUUUGGUCAUGCCUUGAAGUUGUUUUUUGCCUUGCAUGGUGACCUGUAAAUCUUGCCCUCCAAGCCUCACAAUCCUGCAUACAAACACUAGCCAACCAUUUAACAUGAUACAUCCGAACAUUU